RNAcentral lists this ribosomal RNA (280 nucleotides) under uncultured Ascomycota. RNAcentral's name for it is "partial 18S ribosomal RNA". It matches the Rfam family "Eukaryotic small subunit ribosomal RNA", at positions 548 to 834 of the family's 1831-position model. Lineage: Eukaryota; Fungi; Ascomycota. The record is from RNAcentral.
UUGGAGGGCAAGUCUGGUGCCCGCAGCCGCGGUAAUUCCAGCUCCAAUAGCGUAUAUUAAAGUUGUUGUGGUUAAAAAGCUCGUAGUUGAACCUUGGGCCUGGCUGGCCGGUCCGCCUCACCGCGUGCACUGGUCCGGCCGGGCCUUUCCCUCUGCGGAACCCCAUGCCCUUCACUGGGUGUGGCGGGGAAACAGGACUUUUACUUUGAAAAAAUUAGAGUGCUCAAGGCAGGCCUAUGCUCGAAUACAUUAGCAUGGAAUAAUAGAAUAGGGCGUGUGG